Molecule: long non-coding RNA, 238 nt
Filed under: Capsicum annuum
Lineage: Eukaryota; Viridiplantae; Streptophyta; Magnoliopsida; Solanales; Solanaceae
Description: long non-coding RNA (CANN_LNC016276)
Source: RNAcentral
AUUCUUGAAUAUGAACAAUAUUGAAAAGUAUAUGAAGUACUUCGGAUUUCAUCAUAGUCUCUCCAACUUAAAUGGACAGAUAUGGUUUUUUUGGGUUGGAAAUUACAACACUUAUGUUAUUAACAAUACUGAUAACAAAUCACAAUAAAGAUGCAAAACUUCAACACUAGUAAGGACAUUUUCAUCACUACUGUAUAUGCUAAGUGCGCCCCCUUGGAAAGGAAGGAUCUCUGGGAGG